Long non-coding RNA from Sphaerodactylus townsendi, 429 nucleotides. RefSeq lists it as uncharacterized. The transcript is spliced from 3 exons. Lineage: Eukaryota; Metazoa; Chordata; Lepidosauria; Squamata; Sphaerodactylidae. The record is from RefSeq and is a predicted model, not a curated record.
UCCGGGGCGUCCAUCUUUUCUCCUCCUUCCCUCCACAGCGCGCGCGCGGGGUUUUUGGAAGCCACGCCUGUCCACGGUGCCCCCCUUGUUGCUCUCCCGCAGACCUUGGUUGGGACAAAAGGAACAGGAAAGCUGAGGGAUCAGCUCUGGAAGCCUCGAGCUGAGCUUGUGUAACCCCUAGAUAGGAAUGGAAUGAUCCAGAAAGGGGUGGAGCCUCCAGAGGCAGAAGGGUGCAGAAUGUAUGGAAAGCAGAAGAAGGAAGCAAGGCUGCCUGGCUGGAAACUGGAAGUUCAACUACAGGCUCUUAAUACCUUGUUUAAGGACCCACAAACUGAGGUUACACUUUUGUCUCUUCCCUGGCCAUCACUGGGAGACUCCCAUUUCACCUGUAUAUUCUCCACCCCUUCCUCACUGGCACUCAAUCCUGGG